UACGAAGGGGGCUAGCGUUGCUCGGAAUCACUGGGCGUAAAGGGUGCGUAGGCGGGGCUUUAAGUCAGGGGUGAAAUCCUGGAGCUCAACUCCAGAACUGCCUUUGAUACUGAAGAUCUUGAGUUCGGGAGAGGUGAGUGGAACUGCGAGUGUAGAGGUGAAAUUCGUAGAUAUUCGCAAGAACACCAGUGGCGAAGGCGGCUCACUGGCCCGAUACUGACGCUGAGGCACGAAAGCUAGGGGAGCAAACAGG
This 253-nucleotide ribosomal RNA is filed under the name uncultured bacterium. Its description in RNAcentral is "partial 16S ribosomal RNA". It matches the Rfam family "Bacterial small subunit ribosomal RNA", at positions 524 to 776 of the family's 1533-position model. The record is from RNAcentral.